Molecule: ribosomal RNA, 196 nt
Filed under: Escherichia coli
Lineage: Bacteria; Pseudomonadati; Pseudomonadota; Gammaproteobacteria; Enterobacterales; Enterobacteriaceae
Description: partial 16S ribosomal RNA
Rfam family: Bacterial small subunit ribosomal RNA
Source: RNAcentral
AAAUUGAAGAGUUUGAUCAUGGCUCAGAUUGAACGCUGGCGGCAGGCCUAACACAUGCAAGUCGAACGGUAACAGGAAGCAGCUUGCUGCUUUGCUGACGAGUGGCGGACGGGUGAGUAAUGUCUGGGAAACUGCCUGGUGGAGGGGGAUAACUACUGGAAACGGUAGCUAAUACCGCAUAACGUCGCAAGACCAA